UCAUGUUGUUUGAUUCUAUAUAAGUUAGUAUAUUCACCUUUAUUUUUUCUAAGAUUCAAUAAAUUUCCCUCGUAUUCUCCUCGUUCAUAAAGAAAAAUAUAAACAAUUGAAAUAAAUUAAUCCUAAUGUUGGUGCAAAGGUUUCGCUACGUGACGGGGGCAGUUUGCCCCAUAACAAAUCCAUAUAGACAAUUUGAGGGCGCAGCCCUGUGAUGUCAGAGUUUCUUCCAACUAAAUAUUGAACCAUUAUUGGCCCUCUAAUUUCCAUUUGGUCUAUUUUUG
Molecule: long non-coding RNA, 281 nt
Filed under: Prunus persica (peach)
Lineage: Eukaryota; Viridiplantae; Streptophyta; Magnoliopsida; Rosales; Rosaceae
Description: long non-coding RNA (PPER_LNC003347)
Source: RNAcentral